This is a non-coding RNA of Cinara cedri, 692 nucleotides long. The record is from the annotation of a GenBank genome assembly. Lineage: Eukaryota; Metazoa; Arthropoda; Insecta; Hemiptera; Aphididae.
AAAUUGGAUCACUAUCUGAAAAGUAAAAUAAAAUGUAUCUCUUGUAUAAAAUAAUAAUCAAAUUUCCAAUAUUGUAUUAAAUAUAUUUGUAUAACAAAACGCGUGUCUGCCCACGACCAGAGCAGAGAACCAGAAAACUCGGUGCGCUGCAGACAACUAGAAUAACUACAAAUAACCAAAUUAAGUUAGUUUUCGAUCGAUAUAAAAAAAAUAAACCAGUUGACAGUGUGCAGGUUUAGCGAGCCAUCUCCGAAGGAAACCCGACUGCGUCGCGAAUCCAUUUAUAUUCUGUAGGGUGACUCUUUUAAUGGUACGAUGACUCAUCGGAACAACAACUUUCCUUUGGUUUAUUUAUACAAUAUUAAUACACACCAUUGUGGUUUCAAACAACUACAAGCAAAAUGGUACUUAUUGGCUAUACAUAUACUUCUAUAAUCAAUGCUACUAUUUCAUACCUUGUUUUGAAAUACGACAAAUUAAACACGAAAAAUCACCGAUAUUUUCUAAUGACAAUAAUAAAAAAAACUCCAAUAGUUGUCUUACAAUGAAUUUUUCAAUUAUUUAUAUAAAUUGAGCUAUACGAAAAAAAACAAAAGGCUGUGAGUGGAGAAAUUUGGCGUUGGUAUUUUGAAAACACAUCUCGCCCAUCUGUUUUGUGUUUAUAAAUGUUAUAAUUAUUAUUUUUUCAUCUA